Molecule: non-coding RNA, 140 nt
Filed under: Fusobacterium polymorphum
Lineage: Bacteria; Fusobacteriati; Fusobacteriota; Fusobacteriia; Fusobacteriales; Fusobacteriaceae
Description: Lysine riboswitch
Rfam family: Lysine riboswitch aptamer
About the family: Riboswitches are metabolite binding domains within certain messenger RNAs that serve as precision sensors for their corresponding targets.
Source: RNAcentral
UAAGAAAGAGGUUGCAUCAAUCAAUAGUAAUUAGUUGGAGAUCGAAAGUCAAUGAAGAUUAAUGAAAGGGAAAGAUGCCGAAGUGGAUUGUCAAAAAAUCUGCUGGGGAUAUGUUGAACAAGCAUAUAACUGUCUUUGUG